This 721-nucleotide ribosomal RNA is filed under the name uncultured Thermaceae bacterium. RNAcentral describes it as "bacterial SSU rRNA". It matches the Rfam family "Bacterial small subunit ribosomal RNA", at positions 600 to 1325 of the family's 1533-position model. Lineage: Bacteria; Thermotogati; Deinococcota; Deinococci; Thermales; Thermaceae. The record is from RNAcentral.
GACUGGGGCUCAACCCCAGGGGUGCGUUGGAUACUGUGAGGCUAGACGGUCGGAGGGGGUAGCGGAAUUUCCGGAGUAGCGGUGAAAUGCGCAGAUACCGGAAGGAACGCCAAUAGCGAAGGCAGCUACCUGGACGACUUGUGACGCUGAGGCGCGAAAGCGUGGGGAGCAAACCGGAUUAGAUACCCGGGUAGUCCACGCCCUAAACCAUGAGUGCUGGGUGUCCGGCUUCUGCUGGGUGCCGUAGCUAACGCGCUAAGCACUCCGCCUGGGAAGUACGCACGCAAGUGUGAAACUCAAAGGAAUUGACGGGGGCCCGCACAAGCGGUGGAGCAUGUGGUUUAAUUCGAAGCGACGCGAAGAACCUUACCAGGCCUUGACAUGCCCGGAACCCCUCUGAAAGGAGGGGGUGCCCGCAAGGGAGCCGGGACACAGGUGCUGCAUGGCCGUCGUCAGCUCGUGUCGUGAGAUGUUGGGUUAAGUCCCGCAACGAGCGCAACCCCUAUCCCUAGUUGCCAGCAGUUCGGCUGGGCACUCUAUGGAGACUGCCUGCGAAAGCAGGAGGAAGGCGGGGAUGACGUCUGGUCCGCAUGGCCCUUACGGCCUGGGCGACACACGUGCUACAAUGCCAAGGACAGAGCGCUGCUACCUCGCGAGAGGACGCCAAUCGCAAAAACCUUGGCUCAGUUCGGAUUGGAGUCUGCAACUCGACUCCAUGAAG